This 260-nucleotide ribosomal RNA is filed under the name uncultured bacterium. RNAcentral describes it as "partial 16S ribosomal RNA". It matches the Rfam family "Bacterial small subunit ribosomal RNA", at positions 28 to 279 of the family's 1533-position model. The record is from RNAcentral.
GAUGAACGCUAGCUACAGGCUUAACACAUGCAAGUCGAGGGGCAUCAGGAAGAAAGCUUGCUUUCUUUGCUGGCGACCGGCGCACGGGUGAGUAACACGUAUCCAACCUGCCCUUUACUCGGGAACAGCCUUGCGAAAGCAAGAUUAAUGCCCGAUGUUCCGCGUUUGCUGCAUGGCAAAUUCGGCAAAGAUUUAUUGGUAAAGGAUGGCGAUGCGUCCCAUUAGUUAGUUGGCGGGGUAACGGCCCACCAAGACGACGA